CAAAGAAUAGUUUAGUUUAGAAUUCUAGCUUUGGGAGUUAGGGGUGGGAGUUAAAAUCU
This 59-nucleotide transfer RNA is filed under the name Channa asiatica (small snakehead). RNAcentral's name for it is "partial tRNA-Pro". Lineage: Eukaryota; Metazoa; Chordata; Actinopteri; Anabantiformes; Channidae. The record is from RNAcentral.